GGUCCCUACAUUCUUAAUACCGGGGGCGUAGACUCAAAGGGCUUUAAGGCGGGAAUCAAGCUACUUACGUGUAAGUGGCUGAAUGUACCGAAGGAAUAUGGAUCGUGGUAACUCCGUGCCAGCAGACGGGGUAAUACGGAGGAUCCAAGCGUGAUCCGGAUUUAUUGGGUUUAAAGGGUGCGUAGGCGGCUUAUUAAGUCAGGGGUGAAAGACGGUGGCUCAACCAUCGCAGUGCCCUUGAUACUGAUGAGCUUGAAUACACUAGAGGUAGGCGGAAUGUGACAAGUAGCGGUGAAAUGCAUAGAUAUGUCACAGAACACCGAUUGCGAAGGCAGCUUACUAUGGUGUUAUUGACGCUGAGGCACGAAAGCGUGGGGAUCAAACAGGAUUAGAUACCCUGGUAGUCCACGCCCUAAACGAUGAAUACUCGCUGUUAGCGAUACACAGUUAGCGGCUAAGCGAAAGCGUUAAGUAUUCCACCUGGGGAGUACGGUCGCAAGAUUGAAACUCAAA
RNAcentral lists this ribosomal RNA (513 nucleotides) under uncultured prokaryote. RNAcentral's name for it is "bacterial SSU rRNA". It matches the Rfam family "Bacterial small subunit ribosomal RNA", at positions 412 to 905 of the family's 1533-position model. The record is from RNAcentral.